This 485-nucleotide ribosomal RNA is filed under the name uncultured bacterium. RNAcentral's name for it is "partial 16S ribosomal RNA". It matches the Rfam family "Bacterial small subunit ribosomal RNA", at positions 29 to 507 of the family's 1533-position model. The record is from RNAcentral.
AAUGAACGCUGGCGGCAUGCCUAACACAUGCAAGUCGAGCGGUUGAAGUGAGUUUGUUCCCGGAUUCAGCGGCGGACGGGUGAGUAAUGCCCAGGAAUCUGCCCUGUAUCGGGGGAUAACGUCCGGAUACGGGCGCUUAUCUCGUAUCCGAUCAGAGGGAGAAUGUGGGGGUUCUUCGGAUCUAACGCCAUUUGCUUAGCUUAGGUCGGAUUCGCUAGUUGGUGGGGUAAAGGCUUACCAAGGGGACGAUCCGUAACUGGCCUGAGAGGAUGACCAGCCACACUGGGACUGAGACACGGUCCAGACUCCUACGGGAGGCAGCAGUAGGGAAGAUUGGACAAUGGGGGAAAGCCUGAACGAGCAACGCCGCGUGAGUGAAGAAGGUCGUCGGAUCGUAAAGAUCUUUAAGAAGGGAGGAAGGGAAGUAAGUUUAUACCGUGCUGAUUGUGAGUGUACCACACAAUAAAGACCCGGCUAACUCCGUG